This 45-nucleotide non-coding RNA is filed under the name Schistosoma margrebowiei. Lineage: Eukaryota; Metazoa; Platyhelminthes; Trematoda; Strigeidida; Schistosomatidae. The record is from RNAcentral.
AUCCAGCUGACGAGUCCCAAAAAGAAAGAAAGACAUGUCCUGGAU